RNAcentral lists this ribosomal RNA (778 nucleotides) under Acinetobacter parvus. RNAcentral describes it as "bacterial SSU rRNA". It matches the Rfam family "Bacterial small subunit ribosomal RNA", at positions 56 to 828 of the family's 1533-position model. Lineage: Bacteria; Pseudomonadati; Pseudomonadota; Gammaproteobacteria; Moraxellales; Moraxellaceae. The record is from RNAcentral.
UGCAAGUCGAGCGGGGAUUGGGUGCUUGCACCUAAUCUUAGCGGCGGACGGGUGAGUAAUGCUUAGGAAUCUGCCAUUUAGUGGGGGACAACAUUCCGAAAGGGAUGCUAAUACCGCAUACGCCCUACGGGGGAAAGCAGGGGAUCUUCGGACCUUGCGCUAAAUGAUGAGCCUAAGUCGGAUUAGCUAGUUGGUGGGGUAAAGGCCUACCAAGGCGACGAUCUGUAGCGGGUCUGAGAGGAUGAUCCGCCACACUGGGACUGAGACACGGCCCAGACUCCUACGGGAGGCAGCAGUGGGGAAUAUUGGACAAUGGGCGGAAGCCUGAUCCAGCCAUGCCGCGUGUGUGAAGAAGGCCUUUUGGUUGUAAAGCACUUUAAGCGAGGAGGAGGCUACCUGGAUUAAUACUCUAGGAUAGUGGACGUUACUCGCAGAAUAAGCACCGGCUAACUCUGUGCCAGCAGCCGCGGUAAUACAGAGGGUGCGAGCGUUAAUCGGAUUUACUGGGCGUAAAGCGUGCGUAGGCGGCUGUUUAAGUCGGAUGUGAAAUCCCUGAGCUUAACUUAGGAAUUGCAUUCGAUACUGGUCAGCUAGAGUAUGGGAGAGGAUGGUAGAAUUCCAGGUGUAGCGGUGAAAUGCGUAGAGAUCUGGAGGAAUACCGAUGGCGAAGGCAGCCAUCUGGCCUAAUACUGACGCUGAGGUACGAAAGCAUGGGGAGCAAACAGGAUUAGAUACCCUGGUAGUCCAUGCCGUAAACGAUGUCUACUAGCCGUUGGGG